GGGCGGGGCCCGGGAGGGCUCCGGGUGGCGGCGCUGGACAGCGACCCCGAAACGAACCUGGUCCUUAUGGGACGGGCCUGGAGCCUCUUGAAUUUGUGGGCACCACUGGUCGGCAGGGUCUAUGGAAAACAGGCCUGGGAUCCAAGGAAGCUGGGCUUGGAGAUGCACACCGUAAGCCCAGGACUUGGAAGGCUGGGGCAAGACGAUCACUAGAGCCCAGGAGUUUGAGGCCAGUCUGGACAACACAGUAACUCCCCAUCUCAAAAAGAAAAAUGAGGAAAUUGAGGCACAGAGAGGUUAAGUUGACCAAACUCUAGCGCCAGGAAAGAACAGAGCAGACAAAUCUGUUCUCAGUCCACGAGAUUUUAUGGAUGAAGAGGAUGAAGAUGAUGACUACUUGCCCACUAAUGUGACCUUUGCAUCCAAAGACGUCAGCCCUGUGGAUUUUACACUGAAGAAUAAUUAAUGUACAGGAUUGGGUUACAAGGGCCUGGAUCCCCACCAAGUACGGAUUGGAACUUCAAUAGAACAUUUGAAUCUUUUCAGUGGAGGAUCUGAGGGAGCCAGCAAUCUUCCUGGAGAAGUUGGACUAAAUAAAGGAAGACAAUUGGGAGUUUCAGGCUAGGUAAAAGUGUUUCUGCAUAUAAAGGUGGAACCACUGACAAGUGAAUAUAUUUUCUGUGUUUUAUCUGCACCACUCAUUCUUUGUUGAGUGAAUGAAGACUUUGAAGUGGUUAGGUUUUCCCAGCAUGUUUUCUGGAAGAUUUGUGAAGCACCUUCCUGAUUUUAAUAUAGGGUUCCUGAAAGCCUGGGCCCAUCUUCUUGGGGUUAUGUGUUGCCGAGAGUAAGGAUUGGUUUCUUACUUUUUUUUUUUGGUACUAGGGAUCAAACUCAGGACCUUGUGCUUGCAAAGUAGGCACCAGAACCACUGA
This is a non-coding RNA of Heterocephalus glaber (naked mole-rat), 932 nucleotides long. Lineage: Eukaryota; Metazoa; Chordata; Mammalia; Rodentia; Bathyergidae. The record is from RefSeq and is a predicted model, not a curated record.